Molecule: ribosomal RNA, 2260 nt
Filed under: Clostridioides difficile
Lineage: Bacteria; Bacillati; Bacillota; Clostridia; Peptostreptococcales; Peptostreptococcaceae
Description: partial 23S ribosomal RNA
Rfam family: Bacterial large subunit ribosomal RNA
Source: RNAcentral
ACGUGAAACCCUGUGGGAAGCAGGAGGGACCACCCUCCAAGGCUAAAUACUACCUAGUGACCGAUAGCGUAUAGUACCGUGAGGGAAAGGUGAAAAGAACCCCGGGAGGGGAGUGAAAUAGAACCUGAAACCCUGCACUUACAAGCUGUGGAAGCACAUUUCUUGUGUGACCGCGUACUUUUUGUAGAACGGGCCAACGAGUUACGUUAAGUAGCAAGGUUAAGCACUUAAGGUGCGGAGCCGUAGCGAAAGCGAGUUUUAACUGAGCGUUCAGUUACUUGACGUAGACCCGAAACCGGGCGACCUACCCAUGAGCAGGAUGAAGCGAAAGUAAAAUUUCGUGGAGGUCCGAACCCACGAGCGUUGAAAAGCUCGGGGAUGACUUGUGGGUAGCGGUGAAAUUCCAAUCGAGCCCGGAGAUAGCUGGUUCUCCCCGAAAUAGCUUUAGGGCUAGCCUCAAGGUGAGAGAUACGGAGGUAGAGCACUGAAUGUCCUAGGGGGUAUUGCACCUACCGAAGACUAUCAAACUCCGAAUGCCGUCAUCUUAUACUUGGGAGUCAGACUGUGGGUGAUAAGAUUCAUAGUCGAAAGGGCAACAGCCCAGAUCGUCAGCUAAGGUCCCUAAAUGUAAGUUAAGUGGUAAAGGAUGUGGGAUUGCACAGACAACCAGGAUGUUGGCUUAGAAGCAGCCACUCAUUCAAAGAGUGCGUAAUAGCUCACUGGUCGAGUGAUCCUGCGCCGAAGAUUUCCGGGGCUAAAACUUACUACCGAAGCUACGGCAUCAGUAAUGAUGGGUAGGGGAGCUUCCCAUACGGGUUGAAGCAUGACCGUAAGGACAUGUGGACAGUAUGGGAGUGAGAAUGUUGGCAUGAGUAGCGAGAUGUGGGUGAGAAUCCCACAGGCCGUAAACCCAAGGUUUCCAGGGGAAGGUUCGUCCGCCCUGGGUUAGUCGGGACCUAAGCUGAGGCCGAAAGGCGUAGGUGAUGGACAACAGGUUGAUAUUCCUGUACUACCGAUAACCGUUUGAGAGAAGGGAUGACACAGUAGGAUAAGCUAAGCACACUGUUGGUUAUGUGUGCCCAAGCAUUGAGGCAGUCAAAGUAGGCAAAUCCGCUUUGAUAAUGCUGGGAUGUGAUGGGGAGCGAAAUUUAGUAGCGAAGUAGCUGAUUUCACACUGUCAAGAAAAGUCUCUAUCGAGGUUAAAGGUACCCGUACCGCAAACCGACACAGGUGGGUGAGGAGAGUAUCCUAAGGCCAGCGAGAGAACUGUUGUUAAGGAACUCGGCAAAAUGACCCCGUAACUUAGGGAUAAGGGGUGCCACCAUCAGGUGGCCGCAGAGAAUAGGCCCAAGCGACUGUUUACCAAAAACAUAGGUUUCUGCUAAGUCGCAAGACGAUGUAUAGGAGCUGACGCCUGCCCGGUGCUGGAAGGUUAAGGGGAUCUGUUAGAGCAAUCGAAGCAGUGAACUUAAGCCCCAGUAAACGGCGGCCGUAACUAUAACGGUCCUAAGGUAGCGAAAUUCCUUGUCGGGUAAGUUCCGACCCGCACGAAAGGCGUAACGAUUUGGGCACUGUCUCAACAACAGACUCGGUGAAAUUGUAAUUCCGGUGAAGAUGCCGGAUACCUGCGACAGGACGGAAAGACCCCAUGGAGCUUUACUGUAGCUUGACAUUGGGUCUUGGUACUACAUGUACAGGAUAGGUGGGAGGCUUUGAAACCAGGACGCCAGUUUUGGCGGAGCCAUCCUUGGGAUACCACCCUUGUAGUACUGGGACUCUAACCAUAGGCCAUGAAUCUGGUCUUGGGACACUGUCAGGUGGGCAGUUUGACUGGGGCGGUCGCCUCCCAAAAGGUAACGGAGGCGCUCAAAGGUUCUCUCAGUACGGUCGGAAAUCGUACGUAGAGUGUAAAGGCAAAAGAGAGCUUGAUUGCAAGACAUACAGGUCGAGCAAGGAUGAAAAUCGGACUUAGUGAUCCGGUGGUUCUGCGUGGAAGGGCCAUCGCUCAACGGAUAAAAGCUACCCUGGGGAUAACAGGCUUAUCUCCCCCAAGAGUCCACAUCGACGGGGAGGUUUGGCACCUCGAUGUCGGCUCAUCACAUCCUGGGGCUGUAGUAGGUCCCAAGGGUUGGGCUGUUCGCCCAUUAAAGUGGUACGCGAGCUGGGUUCAGAACGUCGUGAGACAGUUCGGUCCCUAUCCGUCGCAGGCGUAGGAAAUUUGAGAAGACCUGUCCUUAGUACGAGAGGACCGGGAUGGACG